This 1257-nucleotide ribosomal RNA is filed under the name uncultured organism. RNAcentral's name for it is "bacterial SSU rRNA". It matches the Rfam family "Bacterial small subunit ribosomal RNA", at positions 59 to 1278 of the family's 1533-position model. The record is from RNAcentral.
AAGUCGUGCGAGGAGAGGAGCUUCGGGGUGUGAGUAGAGCGGCGAACGGGUGAGUAACACGUAAGCAAUCUACCGUCCAAGUAUGGAAUAACCUUGCCAACGCAUGGCUAAUGCCGGAUGUCGUCCAGGCUUCUCAUGUGGCCUGGAUGAAAGGUGACCUCUACAUGUAAGUUGUCGCUUGGAGAUGGGCUUGCGUGCCCAUUAGCUUGUUGGCCAUGGUAACGGCCUACCAAGGCUACUAUGGGUAGCCGACCUGAGAGCGGUGAUCGGUCACAUUGGGACUGAGAUACGUGCCCAGACUCCUACGGGAGUGCAGCAGUAGUGGAAUUUUGCGCAAUGGACGAAAGUCUGACGCAGCAACGCCGCGUGAGGGAUGAAUGCCUUCGGGUUGUAAACCUCUGUUGGAUGAGAAGAAAAGCUUGAUGGCUAAUAUCCAUCAGGUAUGACGGUAUCGUACGAGGAAGCUCCGGCUAACUACGUGCCAUCAGCCGGGGUAAUACGUAGGGGGCAAGCGUUGUUCGGAAUCACUGGGCGUAAAGGGAGCGUAGGCGGGAAGGUAAGUUAGGAGUUAAAUCCACAGGCUCAACCUGUGAUCUGCUUUUAAUACUGCCUUUCUUGAGUAUGGGAGAGGGUGAUGGAAUUCCAGGUGUAGCGGUGGAAUGCGUAGAUAUCUGGAAGAACACCAGUUGCGAAGGCGGUCACCUGGCCCAAUGCUGACGCUGAGGCUCGAAAGCUAGGGGAGCGAACAGGAUUAGAUACCCUGGUAGUCCUAGCCGUAAACGAUGGACACUAGUUGUUGGAGGAGUCAAUCCUUUCAGUGACGAAGUUAACGCAUUAAGUGUCCCGCCUGGGGAGUACGCUCGCAAGGCUGAAACUCAAAGGAAUUGACGGGGGCCCGCACAAGCGGUGGAGCAUGUGAUUAAGUUCGAUGCAACGCGAAGAACCUUACCUGGGUUUGACAUGGGAGUGAAAUUCUGUAGAGAUACGGACCCUUCAUUCGGGGACAAUUUACACAGGUGUCGCAUGGUCGUCGUCAGCUCGUGUCGUGAGAUGUUGGGUUAAGUCCCGCAACGAGCGCAACCCGUACCCUUAGUUGCCAGCGAGUAAUGUCGGGAACUCUAGGGGGACUGCAUGAUAUAACCAGGAGGAAGAUGGGGAUGACGUCAAAUCAUCAUGGCCCAUACGCCCAGGGCUAGACACGUGCUACAAUGGCCGGUACAACGGGAUGCGAGUCCGCAAGGGUUAGCCAAUCCCUUA